UAUCACAGACAUAAUGUACACAAUGUGAUAGAAGAAUAACCCAUUUAUUGAUUUAUAUUUAAAAUUAUAAAUUUGCCCUUAGAUUUGUAUAGAAAUGUGUCAGCCAAUCUGGCAUCUAGGGCACACAUCUAACACCUUAGGCAUGGAUAAGAAGUGGGACGCCCAAGAACAAGGAUGUGUGGACAUCCAAGGGGAGAAUAGAAAGGCAGGAG
This 212-nucleotide long non-coding RNA is filed under the name Elaeis guineensis (African oil palm). RNAcentral describes it as "long non-coding RNA (EGUI_LNC057887)". Lineage: Eukaryota; Viridiplantae; Streptophyta; Magnoliopsida; Arecales; Arecaceae. The record is from RNAcentral.